RNAcentral lists this long non-coding RNA (234 nucleotides) under Malus domestica (apple). RNAcentral's name for it is "long non-coding RNA (MDOM_LNC003276)". Lineage: Eukaryota; Viridiplantae; Streptophyta; Magnoliopsida; Rosales; Rosaceae. The record is from RNAcentral.
UCAAAACUGAGGAAAGAUGGAGAAAAUACCGAGGAGAAUGAGAGAAGGAGAUGCUGUGAGCCUGUGUGGUGUCGCGUAGGAGGGAGGGGGAGGAUAAGGGCUUGUCGGCGGCUGAGGGCGGCUGAGGGCGGCUGAGGGAGGCUGCUGAUGUGCCGAGGUAGUGAGGGUGAGGGCAGCGUGAAUCCUGCUAAGGUGUGAGGGUGAGAGCCGUGAGGCAGGUAUCGGUAGUUUAGU